This 429-nucleotide ribosomal RNA is filed under the name Actinomycetes bacterium. RNAcentral's name for it is "Actinobacteria bacterium partial 16S ribosomal RNA". It matches the Rfam family "Bacterial small subunit ribosomal RNA", at positions 355 to 776 of the family's 1533-position model. The record is from RNAcentral. Lineage: Bacteria; Bacillati; Actinomycetota; Actinomycetes.
UAGGGAAUCUUCCGCAAUGGGCGAAAGCCUGACGGAGCAACGCCGCGUGAGUGAUGAAGGUCUUCGGAUCGUAAAACUCUGUUAUUAGGGAAGAACAAAUGUGUAAGUAACUAUGCACGUCUUGACGGUACCUAAUCAGAAAGCCACGGCUAACUACGUGCCAGCAGCCGCGGUAAUACGUAGGUGGCAAGCGUUAUCCGGACUUAUUGGGCGUAAAGCGCGCGUAGGCGGUUUUUUAAGUCUGAUGUGAAAGCCCACGGCUCAACCGUGGAGGGUCAGUGGAAACUGGAAAACUGGAGUGCAGAAGAGGAAGGUGGAAUUCCAUGUGUAGCGGUGAAAUGCGCAGAGAUAUGGAGGAACACCAGUGGCGAAGGCGACUUGCUGGUCUGUAACUGACGCUGAUGUGCGAAAGCGUGGGGAUCAAACAGG